CCUACGGGUGGCAGCAGUGGGGAAUAUUGGGCAAUGGGCGCAAGCCUGACCCAGCAACGCCGCGUGAAGGAAGAAGGCCCUCGGGUUGUAAACUUCUUUUGUCGGGGACGAAGAAAGUGGCGGUACCUGACGAAUAAGCCACGGCUAACUACGUGCCAGCAGCCGCGUUAAUACGUAGGUGGCAAGCGUUAUCCGGAGGUACUGGGUGUAAAGGGCGUGUAGGCGGGAUUGCAAGUCAGAUGUGAAAUUCCCGGGCUCAACCCUGGACCUGCAUUUGAAACGGGCGUUCUUGAGUGAUGGAGAGGCAGGCGGAAUUCCGGGUGUAGCGGUGAAAUGCGUAGAUAUACGGAGGAACACCAGUGGCGAAGGCGGCCUGCUGGACAUUAACUGACGCUGAGGCGCGAAAGCGUGGGGAGCAAACAGGAUUAGAUACCCGGGUAGUC
This 443-nucleotide ribosomal RNA is filed under the name uncultured bacterium. Its description in RNAcentral is "partial 16S ribosomal RNA". It matches the Rfam family "Bacterial small subunit ribosomal RNA", at positions 338 to 795 of the family's 1533-position model. The record is from RNAcentral.